CCUGCCAGUUCCUGCCUUAAUGCAUAUGUAGUCGUAAUUGAGUUCUGACACGGCCUUGGAUGUUUCUGUCCUAAAUAGCUGACAUUGCAUCUUCAAGACUGUCAUUCCAGUUGGCUUUUGAGUGGAUACUUGCAGUGAGAGCAUUGACACUGGAAACACUAGUUCCCAUUUUAAUUACUUAAAACACCAGGAUGAAAAGAAAUACCUGUGAUUUGCUUUCUCGGAGCAAAAGUGACUUGAGCAUCUGAAGAUUUUGGUUUCUGCAGAGGGUGGGAAAGGUUGAACCAAUCCCCCAUGGAUACCAAGGCCUCUGAGGAAACACUACAUUCCAGUAACGAAGAGGAAGACCCUUUCCGCGGAAUGGAACCCUAUCUUGUCCGGAGACUUUCAUGUCGCAAUAUUCAGCUUCCCCCUCUCGCCUUCAGACAGUUGGAACAAGCUGACUUGAAAAGUGAAUCAGAGAACGUUCAACGACCAACCAGCCUCCCCCUGAAGAUUCUGCCGCUGAUUGCUAUCACUUCUGCAGAAUCCAGUGGGUGAGUGCCCUCAGAUGUCAUUUCCCCAUUUUAUAUUUUAGAUGGUGAUUGUUAUCUGUGGUCUUUUGAGUUUUUGUGGCUCAUUGCUUGAUUUGAGUGGGAGAACAAUGGGGUUUCUAGAGUCAAAAAAAAAAAAGGAAUUUCUCAGGUGACAUUUCUAUAUCUGCAGGAGAAGACAUUUUAGUGAAAUUGUUUUACAAGGAAGAGCUGAAAAUGUAUUGGUGAAUGCUAAUAAACAUUUGCAAAAGGGCAGUCGUACUUGGAAAAUUAAUA
RNA transcript from Gorilla gorilla gorilla (western lowland gorilla), 809 nucleotides. It is a transcript of the gene named 3',5'-cyclic-AMP phosphodiesterase 4D-like, with no coding region annotated. The transcript has 4 exons. The record is from RefSeq and is a predicted model, not a curated record. NCBI's taxonomy places the organism in Eukaryota, Metazoa, Chordata, Mammalia, Primates, Hominidae.